AGUGAACGCUGGCGGUAGGCCUAACACAUGCAAGUCGAACGGCAGCACAGUAAGAGCUUGCUCUUACGGGUGGCGAGUGGCGGACGGGUGAGGAAUACAUCGGAAUCUACUUUUUCGUGGGGGAUAACGUAGGGAAACUUACGCUAAUACCGCAUACGACCUACGGGUGAAAGCAGGGGAUCUUCGGACCUUGCGCGAUUGAAUGAGCCGAUGUCGGAUUAGCUUGUUGGCGGGGUAAAGGCCCACCAAGGCGACGAUCCGUAGCUGGUCUGAGAGGAUGAUCAGCCACACUGGAACUGAGACACGGUCCAGACUCCUACGGGAGGCAGCAGUGGGGAAUAUUGGACAAUGGGCGCAAGCCUGAUCCAGCCAUACCGCGUGGGUGAAGAAGGCCUUCGGGUUGUAAAGCCCUUUUGUUGGGAAAUAAAAGCAGCAGGUUAAUACCCCGCUGUUCUGACGGUACCCAAAGAAUAAGCACCGGCUAACUUCGU
Molecule: ribosomal RNA, 491 nt
Filed under: uncultured bacterium
Lineage: Bacteria
Description: partial 16S ribosomal RNA
Rfam family: Bacterial small subunit ribosomal RNA
Source: RNAcentral